CGUGGCGGCACUGCCUAAUACAUGCAAGUCGAGCGAACAGAUGAAGUGACUUGCACUCUGACGUUAGCGGCGAACGGGUGAGUAACACGUAAGGAAUCUACCUAUAAGCGGGGGAUAACAUUCGGAAACGGGUGCUAAUACCGCAUAAUAUCUUCUUCCGCAUGGAAGAAGAUUGAAAGACGGCUCUGCUGUCACUUAUAGAUGACCUUGCGGUGCAUUAGUUAGUUGGUGGGGUAAUGGCCUACCAAGACGAUGAUGCAUAGCCGACCUGAGAGGGUGAUCGGCCACAUUGGGACUGAGACACGGCCCAAACUCCUACGGGAGGCAGCAGUAGGGAAUCUUCCGCAAUGGGCGAAAGCCUGACGGAGCAAUGCCGCGUGAGUGAAGAAGGCCUUCGGGUCGUAAAGCUCUGUUAUAAGAGAAGAACAAAUUGUAGAGUAACUGCUACAGUCUUGACGGUAUCUUAUCAGAAAGCCACGGCUAACUACGUG
RNAcentral lists this ribosomal RNA (491 nucleotides) under uncultured Aerococcus sp. RNAcentral's name for it is "bacterial SSU rRNA". It matches the Rfam family "Bacterial small subunit ribosomal RNA", at positions 37 to 507 of the family's 1533-position model. Lineage: Bacteria; Bacillati; Bacillota; Bacilli; Lactobacillales; Aerococcaceae. The record is from RNAcentral.